UGGGGAAUAUUGGACAAUGGGCGCAAGCCUGAUCCAGCCAUGCCGCGUGAGUGAUGAAGGCCCUAGGGUUGUAAAGCUCUUUCACCGGUGAAGAUAAUGACGGUAACCGGAGAAGAAGCCCCGGCUAACUUCGUGCCAGCAGCCGCGGUAAUACGAAGGGGGCUAGCGUUGUUCGGAUUUACUGGGCGUAAAGCGCACGUAGGCGGACUUUUAAGUCAGGGGUGAAAUCCCGGGGCUCAACCCCGGAACUGCCUUUGAUACUGGAAGUCUUGAGUAUGGUAGGGGUGGGUGGAAUUCCGAGUGUAGAGGUGAAAUUCGUAGAUAUUCGGAGGAACACCAGUGGCGAAGGCGGCUCACUGGACCAUUACUGACGCUGAGGUGCGAAAGCGGGGGGAGCAAACAGG
RNAcentral lists this ribosomal RNA (404 nucleotides) under Actinomycetes bacterium. Its description in RNAcentral is "Actinobacteria bacterium partial 16S ribosomal RNA". It matches the Rfam family "Bacterial small subunit ribosomal RNA", at positions 355 to 776 of the family's 1533-position model. The record is from RNAcentral. Lineage: Bacteria; Bacillati; Actinomycetota; Actinomycetes.